AGGGUUUGAUCAUGGCUCAGAACGAACGCUGGCGGCAGGCCUAACACAUGCAAGUCGAGCGCACCUUCGGGUGAGCGGCGGACGGGUUAGUAACGCGUGGGAAUAUACCCUUUGGUACGGAAUAGCCUCUGGAAACGGAGAGUAAUACCGUAUGAGCCCUUCGGGGGAAAGAUUUAUCGCCAAAGGAUUAGCCCGCGUUAGAUUAGGUAGUUGGUGGGGUAAUGGCCUACCAAGCCUACGAUCUAUAGCUGGUUUUAGAGGAUGAUCAGCAACACUGGGACUGAGACACGGCCCAGACUCCUACGGGAGGCAGCAGUGGGGAAUCUUGGACAAUGGGCGCAAGCCUGAUCCAGCCAUGCCGCGUGAGUGAUGAAGGCCUUAGGGUCGUAAAGCUCUUUCGCCUGUGAAGAUAAUGACGGUAGCAGGUAAAGAAACCCCGGCUAACUCCGUGCCAGCAGCCGCGGUAAUACGGAGGGGGUUAGCGUUGUUCGGAAUUACUGGGCGUAAAGCGCACGUAGGCGGACUGGAAAGUUGGGGGUGAAAUCCCAGGACUCAACCCUGGAACUGCCUCCAAAACUAUCAGUCUAGAGUUCGAGAGAGGUGAGUGGAAUUCCGAGUGUAGAGGUGAAAUUCGUAGAUAUUCGGAGGAACACCAGUGGCGAAGGCGGCUCACUGGCUCGAUACUGACGCUGAGGUGCGAAAGUGUGGGG
Molecule: ribosomal RNA, 710 nt
Filed under: uncultured bacterium
Lineage: Bacteria
Description: bacterial SSU rRNA
Rfam family: Bacterial small subunit ribosomal RNA
Source: RNAcentral